Humulus lupulus (European hop) is the source of this 951-nucleotide long non-coding RNA. RefSeq lists it as uncharacterized. The transcript has 3 exons. The record is from RefSeq and is a predicted model, not a curated record. Lineage: Eukaryota; Viridiplantae; Streptophyta; Magnoliopsida; Rosales; Cannabaceae.
ACUGAAAUGAAACCCAUUAUUUUAAAAACUCGCAAGCUCUCUCUCUCCUCCUUACCCGAUUCUCUCUCUUUCCCUAUUUCUCUCCCGCCUGCGUCUCUGUGAGGUUCGACAGUCACCGCGCCGUCGUCCACCAACGACACGUGUCGGACCAGGCGACGCAAGAGGUCGCCAACCUUCGACCACCACAAGCCCAACCCCUCACGUGCGCCCUAAGAUCUCCAACAGAGCCUUUGAAGUUGCAUCGAUUCCAUGAACUUCAAAGCUUCUUGGGCAUUUUUCGACCGCCUCAAGCCACUCUAAGCCAAACGAAGACCACCACCGUAUUCCUAGUGCUUUGAGCUUCAAAACCCACUAAAGGAUCGGGCUCAAAGGUCGUCGGAAAUUGAAGUUGACGUUCGUCGGAAUCCAUGAAAAUCCGAGAAUGCAUGGCUCUAAUCUGACCAUUCUAGGUCAUUCUAAGCUAAACCGUCACCACCAUGAGACUCCCUGAGCUUUGGGCUUUGAAGCCCAGCCACUGUUUUCUCGAAUCACGACCGUGGGGUGGUGGCGCUGCCGCCGUUGCCGGAGCUUCAGUGAGGGUCUCGACCAUCAGCCACUUUUGGGUGUUUUGAGGAUUAAAGACUAUGGGAAAAGCUUGGUUGAUAGCUCUUGCUGAGUAAUCUUAUAUAUCUAAGGACACGAGGAAAAUAGCUAUAGUGGCGGUAAGGUUCGUGGAUGCUUGGGGAAUGUGUAUCGGUGGUGAAUGGAGUCAAGGAGUCAAGAGUUCGAUUUUCGAGGAUGUAGUCUUGUUUUAUGGUUUUACAUGUAUUUUUCCGCACUUGCUAUGUAACUCCUUUUAUUUUAAAUUAUGUCUUGUUUUUAAGACAAUGGGAUCCCAUAUCCUACUUGAUAUUUUAUGAAAGUAACUCUUAUUUCUACAAGUUUUUAAUAAAGUUAUGGUAUUUUCGCAAA